UAGCAACAAGUAUUGGUACGACCAAAGCAGUUUGAAAAAUGCCGAAUGAUUGCGAAAGUGGUAUAUGACGGGAAAGUAAUAGCUGUAAGAAUCUGAGCCUCUUGUAGGAAGAAAAUGAUACAAAUCCAUGCGGUGCAGAGGGGUUUUCAAAUGGAAGAAGGUUCCUUUUUGAUGUCACGUUUUGUGUGCAGUACUAUUAUGAAUGCGUUCACGAUAACUACGUGCAACGUCCAUGCGCAGCCGGGACAAAAUUUGACGUGAAAUCAACCACGUGCACUUGGGAAAGAAAUAUCGCCGCACGUCAAGGUAGGAUUCAUUAUUCAAUUCAAUUCAAUUCGUUUAUUACUCCAGACCGCUGUGGUCCAUAUAAAAACAACAUACCCAAUAAACAUAAGCAAAACAAAAAUAACACAAUAAAUACAUAAAAUACCUGAUAUGACAAUCAGAUUCACAGUAAGUCUCAAAAAA
This is a long non-coding RNA of Styela clava, 468 nucleotides long. RefSeq lists it as uncharacterized. Lineage: Eukaryota; Metazoa; Chordata; Ascidiacea; Stolidobranchia; Styelidae. The record is from RefSeq and is a predicted model, not a curated record.